AGAGUUUGAUCCUGGCUCAGGACGAACGCUGGCGGCGUGCUUAACACAUGCAAGUCGAACGGAAAGGCCCUUCGGGGUACUCGAGUGGCGAACGGGUGAGUAACACGUGGGUGAUCUGCCCUGCACUUUGGGAUAAGCCUGGGAAACUGGGUCUAAUACCGAAUAUGACCAUGCGCCUCCUGGUGUGUGGUGGAAAGCUUUUGCGGUGUGGGAUGGGCCCGCGGCCUAUCAGCUUGUUGGUGGGGUAAUGGCCUACCAAGGCGACGACGGGUAGCCGGCCUGAGAGGGUGACCGGCCACACUGGGACUGAGAUACGGCCCAGACUCCUACGGGAGGCAGCAGUGGGGAAUAUUGCACAAUGGGCGCAAGCCUGAUGCAGCGACGCCGCGUGAGGGAUGACGGCCUUCGGGUUGUAAACCUCUUUCAGCACAGACGAAGCGCAAGUGACGGUAUGUGCAGAAGAAGGACCGGCCAACUACGUGCCAGCAGCCGCGGUAAUACGUAGGGUCCGAGCGUUGUCCGGAAUUACUGGGCGUAAAGAGCUCGUAGGUGGUUUGUCGCGUUGUUCGUGAAAACUCACAGCUUAACUGUGGGCGUGCGGGCGAUACGGGCAGACUUGAGUACUGCAGGGGAGACUGGAAUUCCUGGUGUAGCGGUGGAAUGCGCAGAUAUCAGGAGGAACACCGGUGGCGAAGGCGGGUCUCUGGGCAGUAACUGACGCUGAGGAGCGAAAGCGUGGGGAGCGAACAGGAUUAGAUACCCUGGUAGUCCAA
This 773-nucleotide ribosomal RNA is filed under the name uncultured bacterium. Its description in RNAcentral is "bacterial SSU rRNA". It matches the Rfam family "Bacterial small subunit ribosomal RNA", at positions 8 to 798 of the family's 1533-position model. The record is from RNAcentral.